GGCGGCCGCGCGGAGGCAGCGAUGAGUUAAAGCGGUACUUUUCAUAGGAGGUGUGGAAGAAAUGUGAGAAAGAGGUGUCUUAGAUGAGAGGAGACGACUGGACUAUGUGGAUCAAGGGAGAAGAGUUGAGUUGUGUGUUCUAGAAUACAAAAGUGACUUUGUUGUACAGUUUCAUCGGCCUGAUGAUUCUCUGCUGGAAAUCAGUGGAUGACUCAAAGCAAAGACAAAAGGCAGCCAAGUGUCAGACAGCAAAAGACAACACCGUUUUUCUUUCUUCAUGACAGCUGGGAUGAACAUUUGCAAGAUACGGAUCCAAAUGUUUCUUUUAAGGAUUGUGGCCUGAGGCCACCGCCGUGUCAGUCACCCACAUGUUAACUCUGGCAACAAACCAAGUAUUGAAUUCUUGCAGAAACGCCGAAAAGAUCGUUAGAAAAAAAGAAAAGCUUAUGUGUACAUACAUACUAUGGUAAGUCUACCUCAUGAGUCUCAUGCUGCACCUUUUGUGAGAUCUUCAGCAAAUAAAUGAAAUCUUAUGCAAAAGUUCACAUGUGGUUUAACGAAAUGUACAUAAAAACAAUUGUCUGCUUACUCACAAGGAGCACUUCUGGCUGCACUUUUGUCGAGAGAAUGAUUCUCAAUGGGCCCCAUGAAUCUCAGCCUGAGUGUUGGCUGAUACAAGAAGGUGAACAUGUAACACAAUGAGAUCUACUGCUGCACAGCUGCCUCCCAGCAGAGAAUGCAUUACAGUGCUCACGUGCGUUUGUAUGCUUGCAAACUCAGUCAGCUCAGUGGUAUUUGUUUUCUAUUAUCUAGAAGAGCAUUUGAGUGAGCAAACCCAGAAGGUGGGUUUGAGGACGGACCGGGCUGCAAGCUUCCAACCUGCGUAGUACAGAAGGACUCUCAGCAACUGGCCCAAGAGGAAACUGAAGAUGACUUGGUCCUGUGCUGUAGUAACAACACUUCACUGCUUUGGAAAAACAAUAAAAAGAAGAAAGAAAAAAGAAAGCAUUGAGAGUUCCAACACCAUAAAAAGAUAAGAAACAGAAUGUAUUUUGAGUGAAAGUGGAAAAGUCUUGUGUUACGCAACACAGUCAUGCAGAAAUCUCCAAAACAGGUGUGUUCAUAACAGCAUGGCACUGAGCAUGGAUUAAUUCAUUACAGCUGAGAUACUCCUAGGUUCUGAUUGGAAUAGUUUGUGGGUACAUCUUCUCACAGAUGUUCCAGCUCAGAUAUGUUACUGCCUCAGGCCUGCACUUGUACCAUUGGUUCUUGUGGUUUGGCUGAACUGGAGCAAGAGGAACAGAAAGACACAAGGGCUGUUUGCAAAGAAAAACAUAUAGAGGGGGAAAGUAGAAGCAGUUAAACAAAUAAAGAGGUAUUGAAGAGAAGGAAAAUCAAUGAGUCAUAAGUGAACAUGGACGAACUUUCAGAGGAAGUGAUGCAUGCAUGUAGAUGGAUAUUGGAUAUUACAUAGAGGGUAUUUCAAUGCUGGCAUUUGAUUUGAAAGAACAACCAGGCAGGUCCACUUUCUCUCCCUACUAAUUUACAUGAAAUUACUAACUCUCCUCUAAUUUGUAUUAGGACAUUUCAAAGCUCUGCGUGAUUUCCAAAGGCAAUUUGUGCCAAUGGGAAGGUAUACACACAGCAUAUGAAUGAGUACAAGGGAACUUGAUCAAAAUUCCAGUCUCAUGUAUUUUUUCUGAACACUUGCUGCACUCCUUUCAGAUCUGGAAAAUUGCAGGCUGACAUAUCUCUGGAUUUUUUAUGUUGUGCUUCUUUUCUCCUAAGAUCUACGCCCUACUGGUUCUGGGAAACUUGUGACCUCUGCAUUUUUAAUUAGAACUUGUAACAUUUUCCAUAGCAACAUAUUUUGAUGUCGCAAAUACAGAACCUGUCAAAUCAAACAAUUUCAAAGUGCAAAGCUACGGCCUUCUGGUCAAUUGAAGUCCAAGUACAUGAAAACACUGAGAUGCAAGGAAGACUGAAAAUUAUUUGUUGGUUAACUCAUAGCUUUGAUCUUCAUAAUUAAUAAAUCAGUACAGAUAUAAAAGAAUUACAUUGCAUGCUGGAGUGGUUUAGAUGAACUCAGUACUAAUUUCAUCGCACGUGAGAGCAGAUAGAAUCCAUCUGUCUGACUGGUGUGCCAGUACUAACAUGGUACAAAGGAGAGGAUCUAUUUCUAGGAAAUAGUCGAGAUGUGGAACAAACUUCACUCACAUGAUGAGCUGUGUGAGCAGGAAGUGAAGAAAACAGAAAUCCUCUGAAACGAGGCCUGAGCUCAGAUUUCAACAGACCCACAAUAUGAGCAGGAAUAAUAAUAAUGGGUUAAGAAAAGCAGUGUAACUUAGCACUUAAAUAUGUAUAUUAAAAAUAAGUCAUUUAUUUAUGAUACAUGCCCUGCAAGUGCCAAAUAAUACUUCUGUCAAGUCUGAAGAACAUAAACUGAGAAUUUUUGUCAUUCAGAUAUACUUAUCUUUCCUUUUCCUGCUUUAAGCUAAGACUAAUGGCCAAGGAAGUCAUAUUUUCCUGCCAUUACUAAGACUGCACAAGGUAAUUUGCCCCUCUGCAAGGACAUCCACGUGUAACUGUUAGUAACACCAGCAGCCACGAGAUAUGGAUAUGAUCAUCAAGUCUUACUAAAACAAAUGCUGAAUACCAUGAACCUUUCAGGAGGAAAAGGCAAGUGUCAAUGUGGAAUGCGGUAAGAACUUUCUUGUUUCUGGUAGCAUUGGGUAUGUGACUGCUAUCCCUCUUCUUAUUCCAUCUAUUUCCACUUUUUACAAAAAAAAAAAAAAAAAAAAAAAAAAAAAAACACUGGAAUAUUAAGUUAAUAUUAAGUUAAACGUGGUAUGUUUCAACCUUGCAUUGCAGAUAAGGAAUUCCUGGAGUUCCUGAAUCCUGCGUGAUUGCAGGCAGCUCAGCUGAGUGUGCAUAAGGGAAAGGGGAACAAAAAUAUAAGAUUUUUCUGUUUCCUACCAAUUAUCUGAUAUUUCCCCUCUACUGUCUUUGGUGUAAAAGAAAACCAAAGUUCAGCCUUCUAGGAAAUGUAUUCUGGUAACCUGAAAGACUUUAUAAAUAGAGUGCACAAAUAGAUGACAGUACUUCCAUGACAUAGAUUUUCUGCUUUAGAAUGAAAUGCUUCAUUUGAAAAAGCUCCUAAAAUUGUUAGAACAGUAAUUUAAAAAAAAAAAAAAAAGUUUAAACUCCACAAUUGAAUACAAAAAACGUUGCUGUGAAGGUUUUGAUUUCCAAGAAAUCCAUUUUAAACGUAUUUACAAAGUUUACAUAGAAGAAUAGAUCUGCUGCUAUCUAUAACAUUCACUUCUGUAGUAGAACAGCUAAUUUGCGACUAUUGGAUGAGAGAUACAGAAAGAGUCACUUUAGUGAAAGAAAAAAAAAACAUAUUAUUUUAAGGACAAAUAGUAAAAAAUGAUUGUUUUGGAGUUUAGAGACACAGAGUUUGAAGGAUUUUGCCCUCCGAUGCAGACUGCUCAUGCUUAUGCUGUAGCAAAGGAGGAGCAUCUUGACUACAAGAGUCUUAGUGGAAGAAAACUGGCAAUGCCUUUAUAAAAAUGUAUUUAAUUUCUGUGUUUGCAGUUUUCCCAGCUUCAUCCCUAGGUCCUGGCCUCAAGGGCCCUAGAGAUGUCACAGUUUUAAACAGUCUUAUAAAUCUAGGAGGGGAAAUGAGCUGUCUCUCAUCUUAAACAGAGAGCCUUGGAGAAUGUCUAUGGGGCUUUACCAAUGGAGCUGCCGAAAACAAAGCUAUGAUUCAGGGGUCUCUGACCUUUCCCAGCCCUCCUCCACCAGUGUCAGCCUGCAGCCUGCUCUUUAAAAGUUUCUGCUCACCCAGGGAGCAAAAUUAGAAAUCUUCUCCAGGGACAAUUUUUCUUCCAUCAAGCCACUCAUCAGCCCACUGAGGCAUGGAAACCAAAAAGGAAAAAGUGAGUUAAAAGAAUGUAUGUCUCUUGGUAAGGAUUUCCCACAGCAGAGUGUAAGUGUCCAGACUACCUCAUCAGCAGAGUCCCAGCCUUUACUAUAGGUCUUGGUAUUCAGUCUGUACUGUAGUGGUAUAGAAAAGUGCCAAGCACUGUGCAGGUGAUGCAUGCAUCAAUACAGCAGAUGUGGAGGUGUGUUUGAACUGCUUAACAUCAGCACUUACCAAAUGUUGAAGACACUCUAGCCCCUACGACAAAUAAAAGCAUUCAUUCAGAUGUGCAUGGCAUUUCAGGAAUGGAAUCAUUAUUAUCUUCUCCGAAAAUGUUUUGUCUUAUGUUUAAUAUAAUAUAAUAUAUAUUGCUUAUUGGAAACAAAUCCUUGUUAGUCUCGUUGUUUGUUUGUUUCCUAAUUGUGGAUCACCACAGAACAGGGUACAGUUCAUAAAUACCUCAAAUAUCUGAAAGGUGAUUGCAGCAGAGCAGGGCUGGUCUCUUCUCACUGGUGGCAGGAUGAGGAGAAAUGGCCUCAGGCUGCACCAGGGGAGGUUUAGGUCGGAUAUCAGGAAGAAUUUCUUUACAGAAAGGGUUGUUAAGCUCUGGAAUGGGCUCCCCAGGGAGGUGUUGAGUCACCAUCCCUGGAUGUGUUUAAAAUCCAUCUGGAUGUGGUGCUCAGGGACAUGAUUUAGUGGAGGGUUGUUAGAGUUUGGGUAGUAUGGUUGGGUCUUGAUUGGACUCAAUGAUCUUUAAGGUCUUUUCCAAGCAAAUUCUAUGAUUUCCGGAGCAAUUCUAUGAUUCUGUCAUUUAAUAUGGAGAAAAUUCAAGUAAACUAAAAAUCAGAUUUAAAAGAUAACCUGGUGCAAUGUACUUUUAUUUAUUAAUUUGUUUAUUUUUAUUCCCCAGGCCUUUUUAAAGUUAACCCUAGAAAACACCCCAUGUUGGCGACUCCUUGUAAUUCAUGUCAAUGUUCUUUCAGCAGCACAGUUGCUGCUUCCACGCCGUGAGCAUCUCCUGUAUUUGCUUUAGAACUGCUUCCUGCUGAUGCGUUAAGCACAGGAAGUGAAAGGUUGGUCCCAAAAUGUCUUCUGAGUGCAAAGGAGAAGCCUGCUGGGGCUGGGGCUGCAUGCAAGUCACAAUACUUUUCCUUGAAUAAUCACCUGAAGCACAACUCUUAGAAACCAUUGUACUGCAGCAAGUAGCUGCUAUUUUUCUGCACCCUUUUUUUUCUGUGCUUUCAGUGGCAGUUGUAGGUAUCUCACAUGGCCAGCUGCUCUCUGUUCACAACUAUAGGUGCUGGUGCCCUGUGUGUCCAUAAAUGAAUGGUUUAAGAGCCUGAUGUAAAUAAGCAGCACAAACACAGGGUGUUCCUCCCCUGCUCUGCCCUUGGAGCUGAAAGGCAGAAUAUUGGAAUGGGUCUGUUGUCGAUUCCAUAACUACCUCCCCCCAUUCAGCUGAAGGAAGGGAAAUAAGAAAAUUGAAAGGUCAGACUUCUGAAGUCAUCUUCGCCACGUGCUUAACAUUUACAUCAUCAAAUUAAUGGAAUGACUGCAACCACAAGCACAAAAGAUAAAGGACAGAAGCUCUUUUUCCUUCGCAGUACAAAUCCUUCUCACAGAACCUCACACUGAAUCUUUUCCCAGCUGUACAGGAUUUACUUCCCAUUCUCUUCCAAGAUGCCAGAAACUCAGCCUCUAGCUAAAGCCUGCUAAGACAACUCUUUUUUGUUUCUCUUGGUGAAGCAGACGCACCGCAUUCUGAACGCUUGCACUUUCCACCAUGAGAAGUGUUCUGGGAGAGAAAGCCCCAAAAGAUCAAAUGUUAUCAUUUCUCAUUAAGUCAGUUUACACCACUGUUGUCAGUCAGUGUAAGGAACAUUAAUAAGUACAAGCUGUGGUAAAUUCCUGGAGGUCGCCUUGCAGUGAUAAGGAAGCCUUGCAGUGAUCUGGAAGCCUACCUGCCUGCCAUGGAGCCCAAAGGCAGUCAUGCCAUCCCAUCCAUCUCCCUGAAGUCAAACUGGGCCCUGAAGUCUGAAGACUGCAAUAUUUCGUGUAGUUCUGCCUACAUACCAAACAUCCUCAGCAUCAAAAAUCCACUUGGCAGGUCUUUGGGCAGGCACUGAGUUUUCAUAUGUAUCAACCCGUCCAUGUAGAAUGAGAGCCUUUUCACCUGCGUGUAACUUGUUAAUGUGAGCAAAUAAAGCAUCUGGGAAGGGCAGGGAAAGGAAGGGGGAAAAGAAUAAGGUCAGAUCUGUAAAGUAAGUCGAUCUCUAAGGAUUAAGCAGUGCUUCUUUGUAGAGAUCCUCCACCAAAAAAAAAAAAAAACCCAGACAAGAUUCAGUGCUCUCAACAUAAACCACUAUGGAGACCAGCUGAACUCUUGGCAGAUAUCACAGGGUACCCCAAAAAGACAUAAAACAUAUGAUAAGGUGCUAAAUGCAACAUUAUCCAUGUAGCAUCUUUUAUUCAGCAUCUACAGUCAUCUGGGGUAGGCAAACUCAGGCCAGGGCAGCAGUAGUUGAGGUUUAUGUCCAAGGAUCAAGAUUAAAUUUAAAUAAGACACACAUUGCUUGCUUUUUUGUUAGCUGAGGCAAAGAGGACAUCACUCAUUCAGUCUGCAAACACUCCCACUGUGACACACUCAGUGCUAAACUGAGAAACGUUCUUAGGAAUGUCAUAGGUGAGGAAAUGAGCAGCAGCAAAUGGUACCUCCGCUUUGAUACCUGGGUUCAUGGAAACUUAUUUGAAGUGAUGUAAUAGGGCACAACCAUUUACCAGGUGUUGCCUAUUGAGAGGGAAAACUAUACAAAGCCACAUCUGACUUUAAACAGGUUCCUGUAAUGCUAAUUUACUUAGAGAUGGCACCUGGACAGGACAUUGUCUUCAGGAAGCUGUAGUGCACAGCCCAAGAAAUACACACAAACAGCUGUAAUUACUAAUAAGAACACACGUUUACAUUUGUAAGUGUUGGAAAGCCUUCAAUUUAGCAUCUCUAUAAAUGCUGGAAAGCUCUUAGAAUAAAUGACCAGAAUCCCUCCUUCCUUGGGAAGCCAGCAAGGGCCCCACCUGACGGCUCUCCCAACGAAGAGUGUUGGAAGCCAUUUUUUGCAGCUGGGGAAGGAAAAUACAAGCUUAGGGGAAGAAUCUAUCACAACUUCCAGCAUGAGAAGGAAAGCAAGAGACAACUUGUCUGAGUCUGCCUUCUUGCAGCAGGAGGGCUACGAAAGUGUUUUUAAUGUCAGUCAAAACCAUUCUCCACGAUGGAUAAAACACAACAGAAGUGGACCAGGUCCAGUUUUGGGGAGUGAUGCUUUCUGACUGUGAUGGUGCUGUGGUGAAUAUUUCACAUCAGUGUCCGCUUUGUAAAAUUCAAGAUCUGAGUAUCUCUCUAUGCUGUUCGCCUUCUAUAGUGGUUUCCAGCGUAGCUUGCUUUCUUCAACAAUCAACAUCACCUACUAUCUGCAGGCACAAAUUAUCUAUUAUUAUUAUUUCUGCAGUUUAACAACACAAAGCAAAAGCAGAAAUAAAAGGAGAGAACAAAAGCAGCUCGUGAAGUCCACAACAUGCAUAAGAUUUGAUAUACAAUGCAUUAACUUCUCCCCAUUCGGUCCCCACGAGGACAGCGGCUCCAGGGCUGUGUGGUCCUAAAGCUUUAAAGUCAUUGAAAUUCUAAUCUUUAAAAAACACUGAAAGAUGAACUUUGACUGUACAAACCUUCAAAUAAAAAUAGCAUUUUUACUAAUGUGCUCUUCCCAAGUGCCUGCUUCUUCCUAGUAGGUUUCCCAUCCUAAUACUGUAUGUUUUUGCAGCUGGCAAUUGACACUGCCAAUGAGCCUUUAUGUUCAAUGUUAUUUAAUAGAUUCCCAUCAGAAAGUUAUUUUUACUUUUCAGUUUCAGUAUCUUCUUGAAGUGUCCUGCAUAUAACGUUCAUAUUGUAAUUUGCAUUUUUUCCCAUAGGAUAAAAAAAUAAAGAUUCAAACAACAAUAUUGAAAGAAUUUAGAUUCAUUUGCUGAGAAAAAGAAUUUCACAGAAUGGAAACAUUCUUUAUUUUACUGGGGAAAAAAAAAAAAAGGAAGAAAUGCAACUUUUUUUUUAUUCAAGCAGCUGAACAUCACCAUCAUAAUGAAAUACUUCCAUUCAGUUUUAGUGGUAUGGUAUGGAAGGGUAAGGAGUUCAGUUAUCAUCAUACAUGGCUCUUUUUGUCAGGGCUGUGCUCCAUCCUUACACCCCCAGUUUGUAUUGGUAGUGGAAGUUGACUUGACCCAGUUGCAGGACGUUGCACCUGGAUUUGCUGAACCUCAUGAGGUCCUCCUGGGCCCACUGCUCAGCCUGUUUGGGUCCCUCUGGAUGGCAUCCCAUCCCUCAGGUGUGUCAACCACACCCCACAGCUUGGUGUCAUCAGCACACUUGCUGAGGGUGCAUUCGACUCCACUGUCAAUGUCAUCGACGAAGACAUUAAAGCGUAUUGGCCCCAGCACUGACCCCUGGGGGACACCACUCGUCACCGAUCUCCAUCCAGACAUGGAGCCAUUGAUCAGCACUCUCUGGAUUCAGUCCUGCAGACAGUGCUUCAUCCACUGAACCGUCCACCCAUCAAAUCCAUAUCUUUCCAAUUUGGAGAGAAGGAUAUUGUUUACUCUCCCACCAUACUUUUAGCAUGAAACUUUGAUUGGCAUUUUGUCCACAUUUCUCACAAGAUGGGUUCAUUUUCCACAUUUGAAGAGUAGAUAUAACUUGUAUAUGUCAGCUCAGAACAUAUCUAGGGUAGAUAUAACUUGUAUAUGUCUGCUCAGAACAUAUCUGCCACUGCUGCAUUGCAGUAGGAUGCACAUUUAUUUUCUGCACUAAGUUACUAAGUGAGUAUACUCUGCCCCUUCCCUCAGACUGAGAAAGUUUUUGUUCACACACAAGCAGUAUAAAUAUACUGUGAACUCUUUAAAGAUCUUCAAACCAACACUUUCUGUUGAAUUAGAAAAACAAUCUUAUGUGGCUACAGGAAUAAUGUUUGCAUUCUAUCAGCGCUGUCUCCGCCAAAGGCUGGAUUAUCUGUUUCACAUUCAUUUAAACACAGGAAGGUUAUAACAGGUCAGACAGCAAUCUGGACUUUAUUGGCUGGGAAAACUGACCUCAUAAAUCUGAUUUGAUACAUCUGUCCUUUCAGCUGUCUGCAUGUAUGCCUGUGCGUUCAGUUGGCCAUCUGCCUACUCAGUGGCAGAUCAGCUCCUGUGGCUACUGCACAGAGGAUUUUCCAAGUCCCUCUUUCUACCACAAAAAAAA
Molecule: long non-coding RNA, 9206 nt
Organism: Gallus gallus (chicken)
Lineage: Eukaryota; Metazoa; Chordata; Aves; Galliformes; Phasianidae
Exons: 5
Source: RefSeq, a predicted model, not a curated record